This is a long non-coding RNA of Hypanus sabinus (Atlantic stingray), 384 nucleotides long. RefSeq lists it as uncharacterized. The record is from RefSeq and is a predicted model, not a curated record. The transcript is spliced from 4 exons. Lineage: Eukaryota; Metazoa; Chordata; Chondrichthyes; Myliobatiformes; Dasyatidae.
GAAGAACUAUACGUCAAGCUGAAAGGGCAAGUGGGAGGAGUUUUUGCAACAACGCCUGUGGGGGAGGUUUAUUCCAAGUUCCCGAUCGCAGCCAUUGGUCAUAAACGCAAGAUGGUUCAGAGAGAACGUGGGGGAUUCCUGAGGCUGCAGUCCUCACUCUUAUGGGAGCCGCAGCAGGCGAGCCUGCGCCAGCCCCUCCCUCGCUGCCCUCCUGCCUCUCCCCCUGCCCCUCCCCUUUGCCCCAGGUGAGCCGUGGCCUAAGCGGAGGAGAUCCACCGCGGGGGACGCCCACCCCAACACCCUCCCUCGCAGACCCCGAGGAGGCAGAGCCCAAAAAGGGGCUGAGAGGCGACUCUCGCUCCCGCCUUGGCACUCGCCUCUGCC